Molecule: ribosomal RNA, 253 nt
Filed under: uncultured Sphingobacterium sp.
Lineage: Bacteria; Pseudomonadati; Bacteroidota; Sphingobacteriia; Sphingobacteriales; Sphingobacteriaceae
Description: partial 16S ribosomal RNA
Rfam family: Bacterial small subunit ribosomal RNA
Source: RNAcentral
UACGGAGGAUCCGAGCGUUAUCCGGAUUUAUUGGGUUUAAAGGGUGCGUAGGCGGCUUUAUAAGUCAGGGGUGAAAGACGGCAGCUUAACUGUCGCAGUGCCUUUGAUACUGUAGAGCUUGAAUGUGAUUGAAGAUGGCGGAAUGAGACAAGUAGCGGUGAAAUGCAUAGAUAUGUCUCAGAACUCCGAUUGCGAAGGCAGCUGUCUAAGCGGCAAUUGACGCUGAUGCACGAAAGCGUGGGGAUCAAACAGG